UCAAGUAAAUAAGAGCUUAUGGUGAAUACCUUGGUAUCUAGAAGCGAAGAAGGGCGUGACUACCAACGAAAUACUACGGGAAGCUGGAAGUAAGUUUUGAUCCGUAGGUUCCCGAAUAAGGAAACUUCAUGAACUUUUUUCUGAAUAUAUAAGAAAAAAAGAGCAAACCUAGCGAACUGAAACAUCUUAGUAGCUAGAGGAAAAGAAAGCAAAAGCGAUUCCCUUAGUAGCGGCGAGCGAAACGGGAACAGUCUAAACCAUUUAUUUUUAAAUGGGGUCGUGGGACAGUAUUAAAGAAUUUAUAGAAGUUAAGUGAAGUAGCUGGAAUGCUAUACUAUAAAGAGUGAAAGUCUCGUAACUGAAAACGAAAGUAAUCUUUCUGUAUCCCGAGUAGUAUGGGACACGUGAAACCCCGUAUGAAUCAGCGAGGACCACCUCGUAAGGCUAAAUAUUCCUAGAUAACCGAUAGUGAAACAGUACCGUGAGGGAAAGGUGAAAAGAACCCCGUGAGGGGAGUGAAAUAGAACAUGAAACCAUAAGCUUACAAGCAGUGGAAGGACGACUAAACGUUUGACCUCGUGCCUGUUGAAGAAUGAGCCGGCGACUUAUAGGUAGUGGCAGGUUAAAAUAUUGGAGCCACAGCGAAAGCGAGUCUGAUAAGGGCGUUUGUCACUAUUUAUAGACCCGAACCCGGAUGAUCUAGUCAUGACCAGGGUGAAGCUUAGGUAACACUGAGUGGAGGUCCGAACCGACUGAUGUUGAAAAAUCAGCGGAUGAGUUGUGAUUAGGGGUGAAAUGCCAAUCGAAUCCGGAGCUAGCUGGUUCUCCCCGAAAUGCGUUGAGGCGCAGCGGUUAAAUUUAAUAUUAGGGGUAAAGCACUGUUUCGGUGCGGGCUGCGAAAGUGGUACCAAAUCGAUGCAAACUCUGAAUACUAAUUGUAUAUUUAACCAGUGAGACAGUGGGGGAUAAGCUUCAUUGUCAAGAGGGAAACAGCCCAGACCACCAGCUAAGGCCCCAAAAUAAUUACUAAGUGAUAAAGGAGGUGGAAAUGCAUAGACAACCAGGAGGUUUGCUUAGAAGCAGCAAUCCUUUAAAGAGUGCGUAAUAGCUCACUGGUCAAGUGAAUCUGCGCCGAAAAUGAACGGGACUAAGUAGUUUGCCGAAGCUGUGGGAUUAUAUAUCGGUAGGGGAGCGUUCUGUAAUAGAUUGAAGCGUUAGCGAAAGCGGACGUAGACGAAACAGAAGUGAGAAUGUCGGCUUGAGUAGCGAAAACAUUGGUGAGAAUCCAAUGCCCCGAAAACCUAAGGUUUCCUCUGGAAGGUUCGUCCACGGAGGGUGAGUCAGGACCUAAGGCGAGGCUGAAAAGCGUAGUCGAUGGAUAACGAGUUAAUAUUCUUGUACCGUUUAUUAUUGGUAACGAAGGACGAAGAAGGCUAGACUAGCCGAAUUUUGGUUAUCGGUUUAAGUUUUCUAGGUUAUGAGAAGUGGAGAAAACACUUUGAGCUGAGAGACAAAUACAAGACACUACGGUGUUAAAGUAGUUAAUGUCACGCUUCCAAGAAAAGUUCGAUAUAUCUUAAAUAAUAAAUGCCUGUACCCUAAACCGACACAGGUAGGUAAGUAGAGUAUACUAAGGGGCGCGAGAUAACUCUCUCUAAGGAACUCGGCAAAAUGGCCCCGUAACUUCGGGAGAAGGGGUACCCUUGAGAAAGGGUUGCAAUAAAUAGGCCCAAGCGACUGUUUACCAAAAACACAGGUCUCCGCUAAGUCGUAAGAUGAUGUAUGGGGGCUGACGCCUGCCCAGUGCUGGAAGGUUAAGGAAGUUGGUUAGUCUAUGGCGAAGCUAGCGACCGAAGCCCCAGUGAACGGCGGCCGUAACUAUAACGGUCCUAAGGUAGCGAAAUUCCUUGUCGGGUAAGUUCCGACCCGCACGAAAGGCGUAACGAUUUGGGUACUGUCUCAGAGAGAGACUCGGCGAAAUAGACAUGUCUGUGAAGAUGCGGACUACCUGCACCUGGACAGAAAGACCCUAUGAAGCUUUACUGUAGCUUGAGAUUGGGUUCGGGCUUUUUUUGCGCAGAAUAGGUGGGAGGCUACGAAAGUAUUCUUGCGGGAAUGCUAGAGCCAUCAGUGAGAUACCACUCUAAGAAAGCUAGAAUUCUAACCUU
Molecule: ribosomal RNA, 2168 nt
Filed under: Erythrolobus australicus
Lineage: Eukaryota; Rhodophyta; Bangiophyceae; Porphyridiales; Porphyridiaceae
Description: partial Bacterial large subunit ribosomal RNA
Rfam family: Bacterial large subunit ribosomal RNA
Source: RNAcentral